This 231-nucleotide unclassified non-coding RNA is filed under the name Hevea brasiliensis (rubber tree). The record is from RNAcentral. Lineage: Eukaryota; Viridiplantae; Streptophyta; Magnoliopsida; Malpighiales; Euphorbiaceae.
GUCUUUGCAUUGGCUGUGGCAUUGAAAUUGGAGCUGAGUUUGCUUAUUUGGUCAAAAUCCAUCAUUAUAGCUGAUUUCAAGUUGAAAAACCAAUGAAGAACGAUGCUUCGACAUUGGAAUUGAAGUUUCCCAUAAUUGAAAAGCACAUCAGUGAGAGAUAUUUGAUUUACUUUCCUCUCUAUUUUUUCUCCUCUCAUCCACUGUUUUCUAUUCUUAAAUUCUGCAACCCGC